Molecule: ribosomal RNA, 443 nt
Filed under: uncultured bacterium
Lineage: Bacteria
Description: partial 16S ribosomal RNA
Rfam family: Bacterial small subunit ribosomal RNA
Source: RNAcentral
CCUACGGGAGGCAGCAGUGGGGGAUAUUGGUCAAUGGGGGAAACCCUGAUCCAGCGACGUCGCGUGAGUGAAGAAGUAUUUACGUAUGUAAAGCUCUAUCAGCAGGGAAGAAAGAAAUGACGGUACCUGAGUAAGAAGCCUCGGCUAACUACGUGCCAGCAGCCGCUGUAAUACGUCGGGGGCAAGCGUUAUACGGAAUUAAUGGGUGUAAAGGGAGCGUAGACGGGAAUGCAAGUCUGGAGUGAAAGGCGGGGGCCCAACCCCCGGACUGCUCUGGAAACUGGGUAACUGGAGUGCAGGAGAGGCAGGCGGAAUUCCUGGUGUAGCGGUGAAAUGCGUAGAUAUUAGGAGGAACACCAGUGGCGAAGGCGGCCUGCUGGACUGUAACUGACGUUGAGGCUCGAAAGCGUGGGGAGCAAACAGGAUUAGAUACCCGAGUAGUC